UUCAGACAUUCAUCAGCAAGCAUUAGAGUCACUUGAGUGGCAGUGAAAAGGUUUAGCUGGAGAGGAUUGUCAAGGUACUACUCGGGGAAAGCAAGAUCAUAUGCUUGCAUCUCAGAUGUCAAAUGCCUAGAAGAUCUAAAGAAACCAACCCAUCCUCUUGAUGAUGAUGAUGAUGAUGAAGAUGAUGCCUACAAGAAGAGGAAGAAGAAGAAUAGGCAAUCAUCUUCAUCUUCAUUUUCUGCAGCUGUUAACAGCAAUGUUAAUUAUCAAAACUACCCGUGUCGUAGAGUCUCUAGUAGCACACACUGUUCCACACCUUGUGUCGGUGCUUAGCUUUUUUUUGCUUUCUUAAACCAGUUUCUUAAUUUACCACACCUUCAUCAGUCGCCCUUUGGCUUUUUCCCCAACCAAACACUCAAACACAUGCUAUUGUUAUAUUAAUUAUUUCUUAAUGUUUUUAUGGUCAGACAUCUUAUAAUUUGCACUAUUUUGUAGAUUUGUUCCAUAUCUUGCGCGUGUGUUGUGUAAGCCAGAGUGUUAGAAACCUUUUUAAGUGUAAAAUAAGCUUCAGAUAAUAAUCAGUAACCUAUAAAAUGUAGAGGUCAGUGAAAGAUAAAUGUAUUUAGAACUUCAGAGUUUGGUGAAUGAGCAGGGAGGGAGGGAUUCAUACUUCAUCCAACAACCAAUAGAUUAUUCAUACUGAUUUUUCAAAAAUAUUACUAUAUUAUUUUGAUGAUAUGAUAACAUAAAGAAAUAAUUCAAAGAAGACAGAGAGACAAAUAUUGCAACGAAAGUUUCCACUAUUGACGCAAGAAAGUGGAAGAUUAAAAAAAGGGAAUUCGGCCAAGAAAAUCACGAACUUUGCACGAAAUGCUAAAAUAAACCUGAAUUUUUGGACUGGUCAAAAAAAUACCAAACUUUUCAUUGACUUUAAAAUUUAUUAACAAUGUCUUUAUUGACUUGCCAAUUUAGCACGCCGUUAGCAAACUUAACAGAAAAAAAUUGACGGAACUGAAACAACGUCGUUUUUGUUUUACAUGAUCUGAAAAUAAAAACAAGUAGAACCCUGGAUUCGAACUCGGGUUGCUUGGGUGAAAUGAUAAUGUAUUUAACCACUGGGCUAAAGGCGUUUUCAAUAUAGUUCCAAACACAUUUAACUUUAUUUGGUACUCAAUGAAUAUAAAAAGUUCUCUAAAAACAUAAAAGAUCUUUAAAAUUACAAAAUAUUGAAAAAUAAAGAUUUUGUAAAAAACAAAU
Molecule: long non-coding RNA, 1257 nt
Organism: Brassica rapa (field mustard)
Lineage: Eukaryota; Viridiplantae; Streptophyta; Magnoliopsida; Brassicales; Brassicaceae
Source: RefSeq, a predicted model, not a curated record